GAAUCAAUGCAGUGAUCUUUUGUUAUCGGGAUAAUCAACAAUAUGUCCUGAAAAAGACACCACUGGUUUGAAAUAAAACAUAUGCACUGAUAAAUAUAUUCUAGGUCUGGUAUGUCUUUGAGGAUUUUUGCACAAUGUAACGUCAGAGAUUUAUGUACUCGAUUAGAUCAGUCUGACCAGAGAUCUGAAAAUCCCAAUGAUUGAUCUCCGUUUACGCUCCCCACUGACAUCUCCAGAGAAAACACCACUAGCUUCAGCCGUGAAUGUACAUUUCGUGGUGGGGAUUUAAAUCGUAUGAAGAACAACAUUAUUUGAAGAUCAAGAAAGGCAUUCGACCGCGCCUAUCUCGGAUCAACCAACAUCGUCUAAAAAGGGAUACAAAUAAAGCCGUUUUUGGAGUGUUGACUGACAGUGACGCGCAACACCGGCAGAGGGGAGAGCUGACAGGAAAUACCCAUCGCUGCUGAUGGUGUACGAACGACAGUAGAGGACUACUCGUACACCCUCCGCUUUCCGUUUUACCUACGCCCCAAACCAAGCGGUUCAUGCGAAAGAAGAUACUCUCUAGAACAGGCCGAUUAGGAAGAUAGCAAGGAGUGGCGGCCAGGCGAGAGGGAGGCUACGGCAAACCAUCUCUCCCAGAUAUACCUCCAUUACGCCCACCUACCACCGCCUCCUUCAGCCAUGGAUCCGCCGAGGACUCGGUCACGUUCAGGUUUCUUUCAUUAUGGCAUGAACGGUGGUGGCAACGGCAAUAACACAAUCAACAAUGGGAACAUGAUGAAUGCCAGCGGAGGGAUCGGGGUGAAUUACCCUCAACAGAACAACCCCGGCUGGGUUCCGCACGGAGCGCGCGGUAGCUAUUCGGAGAACCAGCACACCCAGGGGAACUACCUGUCCGGUGGGGCCCAACGCCACCCUUCCCACGGAGCACACAGACACCCCGGCACCGGUAAGCUUCAAGGCUCCCUUUCCAUACGAAUCUAGAUGUAGCACACCCCGUGCAUACAUUAGUGUACCUUUUGUGAUUUAGCAUGUGCCAGGCUUGACAUGUAAACAGUGCAGUCUUCCUCCUCGUCAGUGCAAUGUUCUAGCCUUUUGUCUAAAAAGAUAAGAUGCCAACAACCAUAUUUGAACCUCCAGUGUUGUCUGUAGUCAGG
Long non-coding RNA from Oncorhynchus tshawytscha (Chinook salmon), 1160 nucleotides. NCBI's taxonomy places the organism in Eukaryota, Metazoa, Chordata, Actinopteri, Salmoniformes, Salmonidae. The record is from Ensembl.